RNAcentral lists this long non-coding RNA (696 nucleotides) under Cavia porcellus (domestic guinea pig). RNAcentral's name for it is "lncRNA (ENSCPOG00000038002.1)". The record is from RNAcentral. Lineage: Eukaryota; Metazoa; Chordata; Mammalia; Rodentia; Caviidae.
CAAGAGUUGAGCUGGCCAGGGAAGAGUGAUUUAUUCUCCCACAUUUAGAAGUGGUCCCUCUACAACAAGAAUGCUUGCUAUACUAACAAACUUUGAAUUCUAACCUUGGCAAACCAGUACCUUUCUUAAGCAUUCAGUUCGGUUCUUAUGGGUCACUGACAAAAGUUAAUACGGUACGGUAUUACCCUACCAAAAUCACUUGAAAAAUUGAAAGAAACUGAUAGGUGGACGGAUAGCACAGGCUAUUAAAGCAGAGGGGCUGUGGAUGGAGGCUGUCCAGUGAAAUCAGGACCUGCAGGCCUGCUGGGCAACAGCAGCAGCUCAACCUACAACGCACAAUUCCAGGUUCUCCGGGAGAAGCACGCAGGUUUGACAAACGUCAAGCCCCUGCCGUCCGACUGGUGGCACUGACCCUGCCAAUGCAACAAAUGUCCAGUCCUCUGCACGGUGCUGAGCUCAGUGCCCUUCUCGAGCAGCUCUUCCCUGGAAAUGCAAGGAAGCCAAGGGGGUCAAAAAUCGCGUCGAGAGCACGGGCCAGGUGAUUCCAUGAGUAUAUUUCCCUGCACUGCUAACGCAGUCUUCCCAUCAGCUGAACUGGGACAAAUGGCAUCAAAAAAGCAAGGGAGGGAAGCUGAAGAAGAUAAUGGAUCAAGAGUGUUAAAUGCCAAAAAAAGAAAAAGAGAAACCUAUCAGUAG